AGCAGCCGCGGUAAUUCCAGCUCCAAUAGCGUAUAUUAAAGUUGUUGCAGUUAAAAAGCUCGUAGUUGAACUUCGGGAUCAAUGGAUUGGUCAUGCCGAUGGUGUGUACUGGUCAUAUUGGUUCUCACCUUCUAAGGAACCAUAAUGUCAUUUAUUUGAUGUUGUGGGGAAUUAGGACUGUUACCUUGAAAAAAUUAGAGUGUUUAAAGCAGGCUAACGCUUGAAUACAUUAGCAUGGAAUAAUGAAAUAGGACAUCGCAUUCUAUUUUGUUGGUUUCUAGGAUCGAUGUAAUGAUUAAUAGGGAUAGUUGGGGGCAUUAGUAUUCAAUUGUCAGAGGUGAAAUUCUUGGAUUUAUUGAAGACUAACUACUGCGAAAGCAUUUGCCAAGGAUGUUUUCAUUAAUCAAGAACGAAAGUUAGGGGAUCGAAGACGAUCCAGGUACCGUCGUAGUCUUAACCAUAAACUAUGCCGACUAGGGGUCGGAUGAUGUUGAUUUUUAAUGUACU
RNAcentral lists this ribosomal RNA (507 nucleotides) under uncultured Glomus. Its description in RNAcentral is "SSU rRNA". It matches the Rfam family "Eukaryotic small subunit ribosomal RNA", at positions 569 to 1076 of the family's 1831-position model. The record is from RNAcentral. Lineage: Eukaryota; Fungi; Glomeromycota; Glomeromycetes; Glomerales; Glomeraceae.